AGAGAGAAGUCGAAGCAGAAUAACGGUACAAAUUGUAUUUAAGAGAGUUUAUUUUGUAGGCAGCAAGCACAUUUGAGGCAGGCUUCCUGUAUAGGAACUAUGAAAAAAGUUGUGAGCCCCUCCCUCAGAGCCAACUAAGGUCUCCUUUUAUCCUGGAAGUUUAUAUAUAAUUACCUUGUUCGCAAAAGCUUAUUUAAAGUCUUACUCAUACUCAAAGUCAGCCCAUUGAAGUGAAUGGAGAUGACUAACUUUUCCAAUUCUGUGAAGAAUUUAGAGGGAUGCAACCCAAAAUCAGGUAGCCAUGUUGAGAAAGGAGAAGGCACAACAAUAAAGUAAUACUGAGGACCAACUUUUAUCAGGACAGCUUAUGGGUUAUUUAUCCUUCAGCGACUUUUGAAAGUGUAUUUAUCCAAUAUGAAACUCCCAGUUUGUUUGGCUGUCAUUUAAAAAGCACAGAAGCAACAUGCUGUCCGUUCAGUUUGUUGCACCACAUCAAACACCUAUUUUCUCAUAAUUGCCACAUACACAAAAUUGCACACUGCUCCAUAUUCUUAAUUGAGGAUCACUCCUUGCAGAUUCUGUUUUCAGAAUUACAAGAAGAACAAAUUGGAAUCAACUCAUUCAAAGCAGGCUACUGUAGUUAUUUUUGUUUACCACAUUUAUAUCCUAGCUUUGCUCUCCUCCAAAGAUAAUCUCCCCCUCCCCAGUUUAUUCUCACAAUAACCCUGUGAGGUGGGCUAAACUGAGAUACAGUGACUGGCCCAAAAUCACUCAGUGAGUAUCAUGACUGAGUGCAAAUUUGAACCCUUGGCCUCCCAGGUCCUAGUCUAACAAACUGCUACUUACAAGUUUAUUGUCAGUGCUGUAACAAGAACAUGUGUUAAUGGUGUAGAAUUCAUCAUGUUUAUGUAUGCUUAUUGUGUGGGGAAUCUUACCUGUGUUAUUAGAUUUUGCAAGCUGGGAAUUCAUGUGCCUGUUAUUCCAGAUUAAUCCACACACAGAUUGAAAGUGUGUUUGUGGCAUGUUACUCAGCUUCUAAAUCUUUCCAAAAACAAAUGAAUCAGAAGAAGAGGAAAUUGCUGAAGACAGAAGUACUGUAUAAGAGACCACUACAGAAGUAUUUCUUAGUUUUAAAUGUUGCAUAAUAAUUACUUUUUCCUACCAGCAGGUGGCUUCUUCACUGAAAGUUCUGUGUACUGACACCUCAGUUGUUGAGGGAUACCCUUGAGGUGACUGCAGCUCCAUUUCCGGAAAAUGAGUUAAGAUAGAUGCAAGACAGUUUGCAGAAACCUGUGAGUAGAGAAAUAAAUCAUGCAUUAAACAAUCGGAAAAGGUUUCCGACACAGAGCUAGGACUGCCAGCAUCUGAAGUGAAACAUUUGGAAUCAAUGCUCAAUCCCAGGCAUUUCCAUCCACAACCUCUUUUCAAUGUCAGAAUGCAGCUCAUGGGCAAGUAAAAAGUGUUAUUGAGCAGGGUCAGAGUGCACAGACUUUCCUGAUCAAGUAAUGUGACUACCAAGCAAGCAUCAGCUCCAUCACCACCCUUGAGAAAUAAGCUACUCGUGAAAAAAUGAGACGCGGCUACUGAGUGAGUAUUUUAAGGAAUUUGGUUCUCAAGUUUAGGAAUAAUGAGAAAAGAUUAAGGAUAGAGGCAUAUGCUACCGUCCUAAAUCAUGUUUAUGUAGCUCUUCCAUCUUGUGCAGUCAUUAGAUUAUUAAAUGUUUAAAUUUAUUUCCCCUCUUUCAUGAAAGUUCAGUAAAAUAGGAAGGAACAUAAGGCACUGCAUUACAUGAGUCGUGAGACCAUUGAGCUAUCUAGCUCAGGACUGUCUGUGGUGGUGGACUUCAUGCUAGCAGGAUCACCUUUGUUUUUGGAGACACACCAACUACAUUUAGAAUUACAGAAUUUGGAGGCCAGGGAUUUGAUAUGAGUGGCAGAAAUGAACUGACAUGACAGUCGUUCUAUACACAAACCCACGUCUGGUUACCUCCUCCACUUUCAGUUUUCUUCUUUUCAGUGGUAAUAUUUUUUGUUGUCGUUUUGGGGUUUUUUUUGGGGGGGGAGGGGGUCAUUUUGUUGUUACUGUUAUUCAACAAUUGGAAGUCAGAAAUCCUUCCCUAUCUAUGAUCUCUUCUGCCCAUCCUGGUCUACUGCAAUGCCUAACAGCAGCUCUCCAAUGUUUCACUGGAGAUACAAUAAUCUUUCCCAACCCUGCCUGGACAUGCCAGUGAGUGAUAUAGUAUAUCCCCAAGUGCCAUUCUGCUCCAAUACCACCAGGCUCCUGUGAAUUCCUUCCCAGGUGCAUUGUGUCAGUAUUGGUCAGUGAGUGGUAAAGAAUGAGCUUUUGGAUCCAGGUACCAGAAUUGUAUCAUAAGGCACUUGAAGAACAACCCUGACCUAAAUGUUACAUUCCAUUUUAUAUGUUGGAUCAGGAUUUUCUGGCAACAAACUACUACUGCUUCAUUACAGAAUAUGUAAGCAAAAUCAUUCUAGGUUGGGACAUUCUUGUAUUUUCUGAUUCUCUGGACCAAGUAUUUCAUAUUAGUUUCAAAACAUUUUACUUCUGGGCAGAUGGGACAUGCUUCUGAUGUGAGUUUACUGGUGUCUGCUGUGGCCAGCCAUGUGAAGAGAGAACACAUCUCUUCUUCAAACUCAGUAGCAUUCUGCACACCUGAGGGCAAUGUUGGCUUGAAGGGACAAAUACAAUUUCCAUGGAAGAAUCUUCUGACAUGCAGCACCCCCUGCUGACCCUUUGGGGAAUGUUCAAGAGUAAGGAAAUUAAUUAAAGUGCUGCCACUAAAAAUGCAGAAGGUUGGAGGGGACACAAUUCUUUCAGUCCCGUAUAUGAAAUGUAGGGAAAUUGCUCAUUUACAUAUCCAGCCAGCACAAUCAUGGCAUUCUUUUCACCUCCUCUAAAGACGCUGAAUCUUUUCCUUCAGUGAUUUCCUAUCAGAGUGUUCCCUUUCUGUCACUAUUGCACAACCUUCACAGUUCUGCUUCCUGCUGUUACCUUUGUUUAAUCAUUUGUUCAAUGUUUCUUCAAGACCUUUAGUGAGAUAUAUUUGCAGUUUUAAAGCAUUUGGAUUUAUACCCCAUUCUUUCAACAAUGAUCCUGGGCAGUCGGCACUAGUCAUGGUCUUGGGAAGCUGGCAAUGAGUGUAGUGUACAGGUUAAGAAAAUGAACCAAAAUUUGGGAAAGUUGAAGUUCAAAUCUUUAUUCCGCCAGAGGCAAGCCAUUAUCUCUAAGCCCCUGCCCCCAUAUGUAGCAUGGAGGGGGGAAUAAUAUAUACAUAAUUUAUAGUACUGUUUUCAUUAUUACUAAGGUAGUAAUAAAUACUGAACAUUGUUAGGAUUAUAGGAUGCUAUCUUAUACCAAAUCAGACCAUUGGUCCAUCUAGCUCAGUAUUGUCUAUAUUGGCUGGCAGUCGGUCUCCAGAGUUUUAGACAGCAAUCUUUUUCUAAGUCCUACCAGGAGUUGCUGGAGAUUGAAGUCUCAGGUGAUAAAUUUAUUAGUCUUUAAGAAACCAGGAGACUUUUAGUUGUUCUUACUGAAUGUGUUAAAUGUUUGAUUAAACUACCACUGUUUAAUAAGGACACAAAAAUGUAUCCUACGAGUGAUUUAAUCUCUAGUUUAAGCAUUUCCUCUCAUAACCACUAGGUGGCGCGCUUGUGCUUCCAACAGUUAAUUACCUGAUUGUGGCAGUCCCCAUACAACAGUCACUGAGGAAAGCAAAACUGCCUUGGACGCAUGUGCAUUAGUUAGUGGUGAACCUCAGGCAGGGCCAUCUUGCACAUGAGACAAGGUAAGGAAGUUGUCUCAGGCUGCAGAUUUGGUCUCCGAGGAGUGUACCUCAUCUUUGCCACCUCCCCCAGGCCCACCUAUUGCCUCUUCAGCUGCCCUCUGCCUGCUCCAGGGAGCGCUGCAGAGGAGGAGGAGGCGGGGGGGGUGCAGUGGAAGGGGAAGCAGCAGCAGGUGUGGGGAGGCAUUUUCUGUUUUGCCUGAAGUGAGAAACAUCCUAGGCUGACCCUGGCCUUGGGACAAGUUUUGUCUGAAAGACUGCUUUCAGUACAAACAUGUUUGACCACUUAGGUCAAUAGUGGGGAACCUCAGACCCAGUGCUUCAAUUUGACUCUAGGCCAGGGGUCAGCAAACUUUUUCAGCAGGGGGCUGGUCCACUGUCCCUCAGACCUUGUGGGGGGCCGGACUAUUUUGGGGGAGGGAAUGAACAAAUUCCUAUGCCCCACAAAUAACCCAGAGAUGCAUUUUAAAUAAAAGGGCACAUUCUACUCAUGUAAAAACGCGCUGAUUCCCAGACCAUCCGCAGGCUGGAUUGAGAAGGCAAUUGGGUCGGAUCCGGCCCCCAGGCCUUAGUUUGCCUACCCAUGCUCUAGGCUCUAUCUGGCCCACAGACAUUUAUAUUAAUUGUUUUGUCCAUUUUUGCUUCUGAUCAUGCCUAGUUUGUCUGUCCAUUGGCAUGUGCACCCUCCCUAAAGAUUGCCCAGAAUAAAAUACAGUUUUCCAUCUGAAAAUGUUCUUUGCUCCUGAUUCAGUAAAGGUUCUUUACUCUUAAUGGUGGCAUCAUGCUCUACAGAUCACUGGAGUGGGCGUUUUCCAUGUUUGCCAUCAGUUGUUUUACAUUUGUCCAGUCAUUUCCUGACCUCCAAGAUCAAAUUUUUCACUUCUGUAUUUAUGCCACUACAUUUUACUAUGUUUUUAUGAUGUGUUUAACACUUUUGUACCUUGUUAUGUUUUAUUAUGUAUUGUGAACCCUUAGGUUUUUAAUGCUAAAGGGUCUAGAAAUUUUCUAAAUGAAUAAAUAAUAUUCUAAUCAUGCUAAACUUAGGUUGACUCAAUUGCUGGAUUGGAGACUGUCUAUUGCUGUAUAUAUGAGUCAGUUAACGUGGUUGGAUUUAUUGUGGCAUAAGCUUUUUCGGGGACAGAGCCCACCUCAGGAUGCUCUCCUAGUUUGUAGGUAUCAAACUAUGAGGACAUAGAGAAAAGUUUUGUUUCCUGUCUCCCAAAUGAGAAAAAACUGCCAAGCAAUGUAUGGUAUAUCAAUGGUGUGUAGUGUACUAAUGAAGAUCAGAUCUGACCAUAUUAGGUGUGAUAUACUCCAUAUAGGUGGCCCCUGAUGAUAAAUUGGCAUAGCAAGUUGAAUAGUGUAAAUUAAAUGGUCCUAAAGAGGGACAAUUGCUUUCUCAGGUAGGCAAGCUGCUCCCAGACUUGGUGUGAAAUUUGCUGGCAAGUUAUAAUUCAGCAGCAGUAGGCUGGUGUCUCUCUUUGAAGGAGAACAAAUAAUUGUUGAAGAAUGAUACAUAAUGUCUCCUAAUUUACAUCACAAUAAUAUUGUGAUCCUCCACACACCUUCUCAAAUAAGAUAAAGAUUGCAGUCUAAAAUAGUUUAAAAUCAUAGAUUCAUAUUUUAAAAACUAUCCAAAAGCCACAGCAGAGCAAGACCUUUAUUAGUAGCAACUGAAAUGUCAUAAAGUAUGGUUUGUAUGCUUUUAUGUACUAUUGUAAACCAAUUUGAUACUUUCCUAUGAAAUAGUAGUAGUAUAUAAAUUUUUUUAUAAGUAAAUAAAAUAAAAGUAUGUAAUCUUC
Non-coding RNA from Podarcis lilfordi (Lilford's wall lizard), 5601 nucleotides. The record is from the annotation of a GenBank genome assembly. Lineage: Eukaryota; Metazoa; Chordata; Lepidosauria; Squamata; Lacertidae.